This 251-nucleotide ribosomal RNA is filed under the name uncultured prokaryote. Its description in RNAcentral is "partial 16S rRNA". It matches the Rfam family "Bacterial small subunit ribosomal RNA", at positions 525 to 775 of the family's 1533-position model. The record is from RNAcentral.
ACGUAGGUGACGAGCGUUGUUCGGAUUUAUUGGGCGUAAAGGGUCCGCAGGGGGUCAAGUAAGUCUGAUGUGAAAUCCUGCAGCUCAACUGCAGAACUGCAUUGGAAACUACUUGACUAGAGCAUCGGAGAGGAGAAUGGAAUUCCUGGUGUAGCGGUGGAAUGCGUAGAUAUCAGGAAGAACACCGAAAGCGAAGGCAGUUCUCUGGAAGAUUGCUGACUCUCAGGGGCGAAAGCGUGGGGAGCAAACAG